RNAcentral lists this ribosomal RNA (301 nucleotides) under uncultured bacterium. RNAcentral's name for it is "partial 16S ribosomal RNA". It matches the Rfam family "Bacterial small subunit ribosomal RNA", at positions 509 to 807 of the family's 1533-position model. The record is from RNAcentral.
CAGUCGCCGCGGUAAUACGAAGGGUGCAAGCGUUAAUCGGAAUUACUGGGCGUAAAGCGUGCGUAGGCGGUUUGUUAAGUCUGUUGUGAAAUCCCCGGGCUCAACCUGGGAAUGGCAAUGGAUACUGGCAAGCUAGAGUGUGUCAGAGGAUGGUGGAAUUCCCGGUGUAGCGGUGAAAUGCGUAGAGACCGGGAGGAACAUCAGUGGCGAAGGCGGCCAUCUGGGACAACACUGACGCUGAGGCACGAAAGCGUGGGGAGCAAACAGGAUUAGAUACCCCCGUAGUCCCUGUCUCUUAUAC